CUAUAGUUAACAUGAAGUCACUUAUUUGUUGCACACUUCUAGUUGUUUCUCUCUGUUCAGUUCAAGGUCGCAGCUAUGGCUAUCACAAAAAGACCAAACAUACUUCCGUGGUUAAACCCAAGGAUCAUGGGUUUCUUAAAGAUCCCGUCCAUAUACCCAACGACCAUGGUUUUGUAAAAGAUCCAGUUCAUAUACCCAACGACCGUGUCGUGCUACCUAGCAACAAACUGCCUCAAUGCAAUACACAGUGUACCCUACAGAUAAUACCACCACAGUGUAUACAAGAAACUUUUGGAUUUGAACAUGGUGUAAGGUGUAGAGGCUGCGACAUUGACAUUUGCAAUAGCGGCAGGGUAGAUAAUUUAGAUAGAUGGCAGGGCAGCUCCCAGUGGCAAGAUGGCGGUUUUCAAAAUAGAAACCAAGGAAUAGGCGGAGGAUUCGUUGAUAGUUUGGGUAAUGAUUUUCUAAACGUACUAGGACAAAAUUCAAAUUUAGAUGGUAGAAUUAGAAACAGAUUUGAUACAAAUAUUGACAGGAGGAACAGAUUUGAUACAAAUAUUGACAGGAGGAACAGAUUUGAUACAAAUAUUGACAGGAGAACAAAUCUUGACAGAAAUACCAGAUUCGACCAAAUUUUCAAUGAAAGACGAAAUCGAAUUGAAACAAACAGACAAGUUGGAAAUGAGUGGUUAUGAUCACGUGGUUUUUAUCUCAGUAUGAUAUUCAGGCAGUAUAAACAAUCUAAAAAAAGAAAUCCAUUGCAUAAUUCAAUGUUUCGUGAAUUUAUACAUUUUUAUAUACGUAAAUAAAGUUUGAGAGUCUAGCCUAAAGUUUUUUAUUAGUUUUUAGUAGAAUUGCCUGAAUAAUUAUUCUUAAGAGUAAAUUAACAUUCAUGUUUACGGAGGGUGUUUGGCGGUGAUUUUUUUGUUAAUUCAAUGACAGUAGACACUGUACGCUUUAGAUAAUGUACUCUAAAUCUAAAUCUGGUUGAAGAUGAACAACAUGUUGUUACUAGUUGUCCAGCAUACAUUAAUGAUAGGGAGAUAUUUUUCAAGGAGAUAAACUGUAUCUGUCCCAAUUUUAUAUAUCUUUCAAAUGAGGCAAAAUUUGUUUGGUUAUUUACUAAUGAAAAUUUGUCUAUACUUAAAUAUUUAGGGAGCUAUAUUAUUACAUGUCUAGAUGUUAGACGAAAUGUAAAUUAAUGUAUGUAAUAACAAUGAUAAUUGUAAUGAUUUUAUAGUUCUGAUCCUGCCUGGAAUUAAAUGUAUGUGAUUUUUUAUAGAAUGAAGAUAAUAACAUCUGUCUGAACUUUUUAAUGUUUCAUUUUAAUAUAUAAAAAUGUUUUUCUGUUACAAAUCAUGAUGUAUUGUUUCAUGUGUACAUGUUAUGCUGCCCAUCAAGGGCCCUUGAUUGGAAUAAUAAAUAUUCUUAUUCUUA
This is a long non-coding RNA of Mytilus californianus (California mussel), 1437 nucleotides long. RefSeq lists it as uncharacterized. The record is from RefSeq and is a predicted model, not a curated record. NCBI's taxonomy places the organism in Eukaryota, Metazoa, Mollusca, Bivalvia, Mytilida, Mytilidae. The transcript is spliced from 2 exons.